GAACGGGGUAGCAAUACCCAGUGGCAGACGGGUGAGUAACACGUGGUCAACCUACCUCUGUGUGGGGGAUAACUAGCCGAAAGGUUAGCUAAUACCGCAUACGAUCGUUUUGGGGCAUCUCGAGACGAUGAAAGGAGCAAUCCGCACGGAGAGGGGACUGCGUCCCAUUAGUUAGUUGGUGGGGUAACGGCCUACCAAGCCUGUGAUCCGUAGCUGGUCUGAGAGGAUGAUCAGCCACACUGGGACUGAGACACGGCCCAGACUCCUACGGGAGGCAGCAGUGGGGAAUAUUGGACAAUGGGCGCAAGCCUGAUCCAGCAAUGCCGCGUGAGUGAUGAAGGCCUUCGGGUUGUAAAGCUCUUUCGCCCGCGACGAUGAUGACGGUAGCGGGAGAAGAAGCCCCGGCUAACUUCGUG
This 416-nucleotide ribosomal RNA is filed under the name uncultured bacterium. RNAcentral's name for it is "bacterial SSU rRNA". It matches the Rfam family "Bacterial small subunit ribosomal RNA", at positions 64 to 507 of the family's 1533-position model. The record is from RNAcentral.